UCGACUCUGUCGAAUAAAGUUCUAGUUAAGUUAUGAUAAUGACAUUUCUUAACUAUGUGUCUUGACCAAAUCACGUGCCAGCAGUCGCGGUAAUACGUGGAAGACUAGUGUUAUUCAUCUUUAACAGGUUUAAAGGGUACCUAGACGGUAAAUCUAGCCCCAAAAGGGUACUAAUUUACUAGAGUUUAAUAAGAGAGGGGGAGUACUGAUGAGUGGAGAGAUGAAAUUUUAUGAUACCAUUAGGAACAGACAAAGGCGAAAGCGACCUUUUACAUAAAAACUGACGUUGAGGGACGAAGGCUUUAGUCGUGAACAGGAUUAGAUACCCAAGUAAUUAAAGCAGACAAUGAUGAAUGUCAUAGAUUAGUGAGUCAUAUUAAUCUAUAAAUGAAAGUGUAAGCAUUCCACCUCAAGAGUAAUGUGGCAACGCAGAAACUGAAAUCAUUAGACCGUUUCUGAAACCAGUAGUGAAGUAUGUUGUUUAAUUAGAUAAUCCGCAAAAGACCUCACCACAAUUUGAAUAUUAUUAAAUAUAAUACAAGCGUUGCACGGCUGUCUUCAGUUAAUGUCGUGAGAUUAGGUUAGUUCCAUUAAAUUAACGUAAACCCUUGCUUUAUUUAUAUUAUAAAGUAGAUCACCGCUAUAUUGGAAGUGAUAAUAGGGACUAAGACAAGUCAUCAUGGCCUGAAUAUUGUGGGCGAUAGACGUGCCACAUAAUCGGAGACAAAGGGAUGCGAAAUUGUGAAAUAUAGCUA
RNAcentral lists this ribosomal RNA (755 nucleotides) under Pertusaria gibberosa. RNAcentral describes it as "SSU rRNA". It matches the Rfam family "Bacterial small subunit ribosomal RNA", at positions 429 to 1270 of the family's 1533-position model. The record is from RNAcentral. Lineage: Eukaryota; Fungi; Ascomycota; Lecanoromycetes; Pertusariales; Pertusariaceae.